RNAcentral lists this long non-coding RNA (625 nucleotides) under Salmo trutta (river trout). Its description in RNAcentral is "lncRNA (ENSSTUG00000020119.1)". The record is from RNAcentral. Lineage: Eukaryota; Metazoa; Chordata; Actinopteri; Salmoniformes; Salmonidae.
CUCCCUUUGUCGGUGUGAAAAGAUAACCAUCAAUCAGUUGUCAAUUGGUCAAUUGCAGAGGUGAUGAAAAGGAAGGGGUUGAACAAUCCCCUCUCUCUGGCUACCUAGAGGAUUCAGGAGCCCUGGGAAAACGUGGCAGCUGGAGCAGAGCAGGGAGUGGAUCAGUCACACAGGGGUAACGAGCGAAACACCAGCGUUCAGCGAGCAGCUUGAGCGGCGGUACGCUGAAGUAAGAGCACUGGCUUUUGGAAAAACCUGCAGACUACGGGGCGAGUAAAGAGAGAGAGACAGCCUACCGCUGUUUCGGUCGAGCAGAGAGCGGGAUCUCCGGCGGCUGAAGAGUGGUUCUUGAAUCGGCCAGAUACUGUUCCAUCCUCUUUUCUGCCAAUCAAGCAAAGAUGAGGACAACACCCAAACUGGCACGAUAACAGCGCCGUAUUCGAAGAGGACCCAAUUGUUCCAAAAGGCCUUGAUUUUGCUCCGCCGCGGUCCGCGCGGAGGCUGCCGCAGCUGUGGACAGCAACAGGUGUGUUAUCGGUGUUUGCUAAUUCGGGAUCCUUGGGACGUCCCAACUCUGACCUUACCCGAUCGACGGUUAAGAGAAAAGGUGAGAGGACCCUGCUGA